CGUCCAUUUCGUUUUGAGCCUUCAACGGUGAAACUCGUGUUGAUUAGUCGGACAGACAUUUAGCUUAAAAAAAUCUUUACAAUAUUUAUUAAACAAGAGAAUGUAGUUAUAAAAGUGUGAAAACAUCUCAAUCUGCUGAUUGACGAUGUGCGCAUUUUGAAACCAACUAAAAUGGAAUUGAUCUGAUUCCAAGCGCUUGUCAUGGAUCCCGGUGAAAUGGCUACAUUUAUUGAUCCGCGUGGGGCGUCAUUGAGUAAGGGGCAUAGCACGGAUCAUCAAGGAAGCAACUAAAAAUACUACACCCAGAUGUCUACUCCAACGAAGGAAAAAUGAUGACUCAAGAGGUUUAAUCCUCGGUCUAAAAUCGCGGGAAUGAUACUCAAGCAGUAGCAUUGAAGCAGGCGGCCGACUUGUCUUUCAGGACUAUGUUUAUUCUUUCAAAAGUUCAAUAAAAGAAAACCGUUUCUUAACUAA
This is a long non-coding RNA of Aedes albopictus (Asian tiger mosquito), 474 nucleotides long. RefSeq lists it as uncharacterized. The transcript has 5 exons. Lineage: Eukaryota; Metazoa; Arthropoda; Insecta; Diptera; Culicidae. The record is from RefSeq and is a predicted model, not a curated record.